AGUGAACGCUGGCGGCAGGCCUAACACAUGCAAGUCGAACGGCAGCACAAGAGAGCUUGCUCUCUGGGUGGCGAGUGGCGGACGGGUGAGGAGUGCAUCGGAAUCUGCCCAUUUGUGGGGGAUAACCUCGGGAAACCGGGACUAAUACCGCAUACGACCUACGGGUGAAAGCAGGGGAUCUUCGGACCUUGCGCAGAUGGAUGAGCCGAUGCCGGAUUAGCUAGUUGGAGGGGUAAAGGCCCACCAAGGCGACGAUCCGUAGCUGGUCUGAGAGGAUGAUCAGCCACACUGGGACUGAGACACGGCCCAGACUCCUACGGGAGGCAGCAGUGGGGAAUAUUGGACAAUGGGCGCAAGCCUGAUCCAGCCAUGCCGCGUGUGUGAAGAAGGCCUUCGGGUUGUAAAGCACUUUUGUUGGGAAAGAAAAGCAGCCGGUUAAUACCCGGUUGUCAUGACGGUACCCAAAGAAUAAGCACCGGCUAACUUCGUG
This 490-nucleotide ribosomal RNA is filed under the name uncultured bacterium. Its description in RNAcentral is "partial 16S ribosomal RNA". It matches the Rfam family "Bacterial small subunit ribosomal RNA", at positions 29 to 507 of the family's 1533-position model. The record is from RNAcentral.